GGAUUUAUUGGGCGUAAAGCGAGCGCAGGCGGAAUGAUAAGUCUGAUGUGAAAGCCCACGGCUCAACCGUGGAACUGCAUCGGAAACUGUCAUUCUUGAGUGCAGAAGAGGAGAGUGGAACUCCAUGUGUAGCGGUGGAAUGCGUAGAUAUAUGGAAGAACACCAGUGGCGAAGGCGGCUCUCUGGUCUGCAACUGACGCUGAGGCUCGAAAGCAUGGGUAGCGAACAGGAUUAGAUACCCUGGUAGUCCAUGCCGUAAACGAUGAGUGCUAAGUGUUGGGAGGUUUCCGCCUCUCAGUGCUGCAGCUAACGCAUUAAGCACUCCGCCUGGGGGAUACGACCGCAAGGUUGAAACUCAAAGGAAUUGACGGGGGCCCGCACAAGCGGUGGAGCAUGUGGUUUAAUUCGAAGCAACGCGAAGAACCUUACCAGGUCUUGACAUCUAGUGCCAUCCUAAGAGAUUAGGAGUUCCCUUCGGGGACGCUAAGACAGGUGGUGCAUGGCUGUCCG
This 510-nucleotide ribosomal RNA is filed under the name uncultured bacterium. RNAcentral describes it as "bacterial SSU rRNA". It matches the Rfam family "Bacterial small subunit ribosomal RNA", at positions 547 to 1055 of the family's 1533-position model. The record is from RNAcentral.